GUUUCAGUCGUCUAGCGGUCUAGGACACCUGGUUUUCAUCCAGACAACGUGGGUUCGAGUCCCAUCUGAAACUCCA
This 76-nucleotide transfer RNA is filed under the name Stagnimonas sp. RNAcentral's name for it is "tRNA-Glu". It matches the Rfam family "tRNA". Rfam says of the family: Transfer RNA (tRNA) molecules are approximately 80 nucleotides in length. Lineage: Bacteria; Pseudomonadati; Pseudomonadota; Gammaproteobacteria; Nevskiales; Nevskiaceae. The record is from RNAcentral.